CCCUUAGAUGUUCUGGGCGGCCCGCGCACUACAAUGGCGUGUGCAGCGAGUGCCGAAGUAGAGUUUUCCGAGGUAUUCUUGCAAUGCUCGUUUUGAUGGGGAUAGACCCUUGCAACUGUUGGUUUUGAACGAGGAAUUCCUUGUAAGCAUGGUUUAUCAUCCGACGCUGAAUGCGUCCCUGCCCUUUGUACACACCGCCCGUCGCUCCUACCGAUUGAGCGAUCCGGUGAAUGUUUUGGACUGGCGUCAGAAGCGGUUCGCUCCUGACACUACGAAAUUUUGUAAACCUUAUCGCUUAGAGGAAGGAAAAGUCGUAACA
Molecule: ribosomal RNA, 319 nt
Filed under: uncultured eukaryote
Lineage: Eukaryota
Description: partial 18S ribosomal RNA
Rfam family: Eukaryotic small subunit ribosomal RNA
Source: RNAcentral